Mauremys reevesii (Reeves's turtle) is the source of this 623-nucleotide long non-coding RNA. RefSeq lists it as uncharacterized. The transcript is spliced from 3 exons. The record is from RefSeq and is a predicted model, not a curated record. NCBI's taxonomy places the organism in Eukaryota, Metazoa, Chordata, Testudines, Geoemydidae.
GGCUGCAAUAGAGGGUAUCUUACUGCUUUGAUAGGGUCACAGAACACCACCUGGGACUUGUCUCUUCAGUUGUUGUUUCCUUAUCUGCUCUCUGGCCUUCUGCCCUCUAACACCACAAUAUGGCCCAGGAACGGACUUCAACUGGGAAACGAAGGAAGAACAAAUGACUACUGCACGAUCUGAUACUGCAUGAAUUUCUUCUUCUAAAACUGAAAGCAGUGCUCAUGAAACAUUCAUGACUGCGCUUCCAUCAUGAGACCAUCUGGUAGAGAAAAUCAAAACGGAUGUGUACUAUCCAGCACUGAAGACAUUAUUUUCAUCACUGCGCUGCUGCUGUCUCACACAGAGUAGAAUCCAGAGCUACAGCAAUAUUUCUACAUAUUGCCAGUCAGCUGUGACAGCUCAACAGUCGGGAUCUGCUCAGGGAACAUUUUGACAGUGUAUCAUCAGAACACCAGAUUUCUGUCAGUGUCAAAUGCUGAAAGUUUGCAAAAUCCUCCUAACUCCUCGGGAGAACAGCACAAAGACCAACAAACUUUUUACUGACCUGGUUGUAUCUUAGUAGAAAUAGCCUCUUAUUCUAAACGUCUUUUGACAUGAUCUCUAAAAUAUUUAGCCAUCUC